This 420-nucleotide ribosomal RNA is filed under the name uncultured bacterium. Its description in RNAcentral is "bacterial SSU rRNA". It matches the Rfam family "Bacterial small subunit ribosomal RNA", at positions 358 to 770 of the family's 1533-position model. The record is from RNAcentral.
GGAAUAUUGGACAAUGGGCGCAAGCCUGAUCCAGCAAUGCCGCGUGUGUGAAGAAGGCCUGCGGGUUGUAAAGCACUUUUAGCAGGGAAGAAAAGUUUGAGGUUAAUACCCUCGGAAUUUGACGUCACCUGCAGAAGAAGCACCGGCUAACUCCGUGCCAGCAGCCGCGGUACUACGGAGGGUGCAAGCGUUAAUCGGAAUUACUGGGCGUAAAGGGCACGCAGGUGGCUUGGUGAGUCGGAUGUGAAAGCCCUGGGCUUAACCUGGGAACUGCAUUCGAUACUGCCGAGCUAGAGUAUGGGAGAGGAAAGCGGAAUUCCCGGUGUAGCGGUGAAAUGCGUAGAUAUCGGGAGGAACAUCAGUGGCGAAGGCGGCUUUCUGGCCCAAUACUGACACUCAUGUGCGAAAGCGUGGGGAGCA